CACCUGACCCCAUGCCGAACUCAGAAGUGAAACGCCGUAGCGCCGAUGGUAGUGUGGGGUCUCCCCAUGCGAGAGUAGGGAACUGCCAGGCA
Molecule: ribosomal RNA, 92 nt
Filed under: Escherichia coli
Lineage: Bacteria; Pseudomonadati; Pseudomonadota; Gammaproteobacteria; Enterobacterales; Enterobacteriaceae
Also listed under: 2 other names
Source: RNAcentral